Long non-coding RNA from Oncorhynchus keta (chum salmon), 361 nucleotides. RefSeq lists it as uncharacterized. The record is from RefSeq and is a predicted model, not a curated record. NCBI's taxonomy places the organism in Eukaryota, Metazoa, Chordata, Actinopteri, Salmoniformes, Salmonidae. The transcript is spliced from 3 exons.
GUGGGACUGGGCAGGGGAGAACGGUUAGGGUCAGAGGUUAGGUUAACUUACAUAGCGGCUGGGCUGUAGUGGGACUGGGCAGGGGAGAACGGUUAGGGUCAGAGGUUAGGUUAACUUACAUAGCGGCUGGGCUGUAGUGGGACUGGGCAGGGGAGAACGGUUAGGGUCAGAGGUUAGGUUAACUUACAUAGCGGCUGGGCUGUAGUGGGACUGGGCAGGGGAGAACGGUUAGGGUCAGAGGUUAGGUUAACUUACAUAGCGGCUGGGCUGUAGUGGGACUGGGCAGGGGAGAACGGUUAGGGUCAGAGGUUAGGUUAACUUACAUAGCGGCUGGGCUGUAGUGGGACUGGGCAGGGGAGAA